This is a non-coding RNA of Zonotrichia albicollis (white-throated sparrow), 645 nucleotides long. The record is from RefSeq and is a predicted model, not a curated record. Lineage: Eukaryota; Metazoa; Chordata; Aves; Passeriformes; Passerellidae.
UCACAGGCUGGCUUAGGGAGAUGUGGCUCAUGGACAUCCUGCUGGUGACCACCUGGAUUCAAACAGACUGAGGAGGAAAUGAGCAUGUCCAUUGCCUCUCAUCCUGUGCACGGACGCUGCUGGGAAGAACAUGGAUUUGUUGCACUCAGUCCCAUCACCCCGGUCAUUGAUGAAAAUGUUAAAUGCUCUUGGCAUUGCUUUCAAAUAGAAAAAGGAGGCUCCAGACAAAUCUACACCUCGUUAACAUUUGUGAAAAUUCAAGGAAAAGGCUACACAUCCCAGUCUGUGGCAGGGGCACAGACACUUCUGCUGCUCUUGUUGGUAUAAAUGCACAUUUGGAAGCCCAGAAAGGGAAAAUUGAAAACAAUGAAGAAGGACAAGUGUGAAUAUAUCUGUGCAAGCUUUGGGAACACACAGAGCUUAAGCUAUUUGGUAUAUUUUUCCUGCAUCACUUCACCAUUCUCUGUAGUUAGCUAAAUUUCUUCAUCCCUUUGUCUCAAGUUUCUGUUUCUGUUCUGUUCCUCUGGCCGUUUGGUAUGUGACUGCAUUUUUGAAGGCAAAUUCUCAAAUGAUAGUGGCUGCAAGAGUAAAGAGAUCACUCCUCUCAGCAUAAAUUAUUGGAUAUAUUGGAUAUAUAUGCAUUAU